Molecule: ribosomal RNA, 468 nt
Filed under: uncultured bacterium
Lineage: Bacteria
Description: partial 16S ribosomal RNA
Rfam family: Bacterial small subunit ribosomal RNA
Source: RNAcentral
GACGAACGCUGGCGGCGUGCUUAACACAUGCAAGUCGAACGGAAAGGCCCUGCUUUUGUGGGGUGCUCGAGUGGCGAACGGGUGAGUAACACGUGAGUAACCUGCCCUUGACUUUGGGAUAACUUCAGGAAACUGGGGCUAAUACCGGAUAGGAGCUCCUGCUGCAUGGUGGGGGUUGGAAAGUUUUGGCGGUUGGGGAUGGACUCGCGGCUUAUCAGCUUGUUGGUGGGGUAGUGGCUUACCAAGGCUUUGACGGGUAGCCGGCCUGAGAGGGUGACCGGCCACAUUGGGACUGAGAUACGGCCCAGACUCCUACGGGAGGCGGCAGUGGGGAAUAUUGCACAAUGGGCGGAAGCCUGAUGCAGCAACGCCGCGUGCGGGAUGACGGCCUUCGGGUUGUAAACCGCUUUCGCCUGUGACGAAGCGUGAGUGACGGUAAUGGGUAAAGAAGCACCGGCUAACUACGUG